Molecule: long non-coding RNA, 612 nt
Filed under: Coturnix japonica (Japanese quail)
Lineage: Eukaryota; Metazoa; Chordata; Aves; Galliformes; Phasianidae
Description: lncRNA (ENSCJPG00005008735.1)
Source: RNAcentral
AUUCUUUAAAUUAGCUGCAGCUGAGCUGGUUGCAACUAAUGGGUAGCUGCUGUGAGUGUGGUUAUUUCCUCAGUAAGUUGGAAGCAAGGUGGGUUGUGGAGGAUAUUUCUAUUUUCUGAACUCAACAGAGAAAUCCAAACACCCCUCUGUGAAGUGUUUCUGGAGUUUAUCCCCUGCUGAAAGUCUCCUCCAAGCAUUAUUAAGCAAUCAACAGGCCCUCGCAACGUCUUCCCAUUUUAAGCUACCUAAUUUUCUGUUCACAGCUGCAUGUGAAACUUUCUUCUGUGUGCUGGUAGGUAGCAUCAAAAAAAAAAAAAAAAAACACCAAAAAAAUAAACAAACCUGCUUUUGUUCAGUCAUUUUAAUUUCUUUCUAGGUUUCUUCACAGUUUUCCUGUAAACUGUCAUAGUAGCAGAAGUCUGCAAACGAUGCUUCAGUGAGUAGAUGGGACCAUUUUUAAGGAACUUGUUUGCCCUAAAAUGUUCCCUUUUUGGCCUAGCACUACAGUGUUGGAUUAUACACAACCAUAGUAUGGAUACAAGAGACUAAAUAUUCUCAGCAUGAUCACUGGCCAUGGAGUGGGGGGAGAUGCUUGCAUUCAUUAGUCAGGUU